This is a small nucleolar RNA of Hippocampus comes (tiger tail seahorse), 97 nucleotides long. The record is from Ensembl. Lineage: Eukaryota; Metazoa; Chordata; Actinopteri; Syngnathiformes; Syngnathidae.
UGCCGUCGGUGACGAGACAAUGGAACUCCUGCGUCAGGCGUGGCGCCUGAUGAUUCCAGUGAGGAUACCUUCCAGCUGCCUUCCUUCUGAGACUCCG